Pipra filicauda (Wire-tailed manakin) is the source of this 3452-nucleotide long non-coding RNA. RefSeq lists it as uncharacterized. The transcript has 2 exons. The record is from RefSeq and is a predicted model, not a curated record. Lineage: Eukaryota; Metazoa; Chordata; Aves; Passeriformes; Pipridae.
CUGCGCUUCUAAGUGAAGUGUAUUUAUUCUUGGUCAGUGGGUCUGGGGAAGGGGGUGGAUUUUUAACCAGGUACCCCAAAGGCAGGAUAUAGAGGAAUAACUGUCGAUAUGCCGAGGGCUUCAGUUCGCCACAGAAGAUCUAAGUUAUUUGGCAAGACCUCGCUGGGGCUGCACCUCUCCCCGCUGAGCACUGCGGGUCCUGCCGGCGCUCCCAACGGCUGUGGCGACAUUCGCAAUUAAGCGAGAGCCACUGCAGGGCUCGCAGCUGUGCCUCCCGCAGAUGCCAUUUGCCGACUUGGCACAGGCAGCUCUGCAGCUCCUCUGGAGGCACUUCAGGGUUCGCCUGAAGUGACGCUUUGGCUCGGCUCGGCUCGGCGCUGGUGAUUCUCCCGCUCUCCACGCAGGAACUGCUGAUGGCGAUUAAUGUUACAACUAACAGCAGAGCCCCAGGUGGCACAGCACAGAACGCUCCGCUUUCCCAGAGCCUCCCGAGGGACACUGUUUUCUCCCCCUUUCCCGCGGGCAGCGGGGCCGCAGCAGGAGCGCUCUGUGCCGGGCUCGGGGGAAGGCGGCUGCACCCCGCACCCUGACAGGUCCUGAAACGCCAGCGAGGGAGAGGCAGCGCUGAGGCGUCCGGUCCGGUCCGAUCCGAUCCGAUCCGAUCCGAUCCCAGCUCCCUCCCUCCCUCCCUCCCUCCACGGGCAGCUCCCGCCAGCGACCCGCUGGCUGGCGGCGGGACCUAUAUCCUCUCGCGGAAGGCUACCGCUCGCUGGCACGGCGGCAUCCGACGGAAGCGGUGCUGUGGCUUCUGAGGCAGCACUUUGUGAAGGCGCGCCUGAUUGGCUGACGGGGCUCCGCAAUGGUUAUCUGGGUGCCAGAGGUGCAAAACGUGGCAGUACAAACUUGCUUAUUGUGCCCUGCCCCUGGCGGUGUGAGGAGCGUCUCUUGGACCGCUGCUCCAAGUGACAGCUUGAGUGGCAGCUGGGGGAGGAUGUGCUCGGCGGAGUGAUGACUGAGCGCUGAAAUAUCUUGCUGAAACGCUGCAAAAUCUUUCAACACAAAGAGAUGUUUCUGCAAAAUUAGCCCCGAAACGCGAAGCUGCGCCGAUGUAUACGAGGUUCGUGUGCAUCCAUCUGGGACUUGUGGUCCCCUUGGGCCUGGCCAGAACCUGCUCCAGCCCGGUUCCAUAGGGAGCUGCAGAGGUACCAUAACCGCUUGUAUGGUUUUUUUUAGAUAAAGCAUAGAUAGACCAGAAGCAAACAAAUAAAGCCACCUCUGCACCAUUAAGAAGCUUACAGGACUGCUUUAAAAACGAUGGGGUUUUUAAACCAGCAAGAACUUCCUGGUGCAUCUGUAAAGUUUGAUAUAGUAACCGUCUAAAGGUAGAAGUAGGUUACAGACACUCAUCUAAAUUCUUCAGUAUUUCUGCUGCUGGAGUGUUUUCAUUGCUCUUUUUCAAAAUCCCAUUCUUGAAGAGUGAGUCAGCACGAAGCCUGUGAAUGUGUCAGGGAGCAGUGUUUUAAAUAAAGUUUCACUGCUAAGCAAUCAUUAAAGAGUAUGUUUAUAUAUGAAAAAGUUGCAAACUUGCACAUGAACAUAACAGCUCGAUUUCUUGACUCUCGUGAAAGUUCUCUUCCUAAAUACAGUUUUCAGGAUAAUGUUCCUGAUGCUCUAGUGGAGGGAUUUUGAGUCCUUGGUAAUAUAUUUUCCUUAUUCCAUUUGCUUACUAGGAAGUAGAACCGUUUUUAUUUUUAAAUUAUUGUGAUUUCCUUUUCACAGCCUUACUGAGUACAAACUGUUUUCCUGCUGGCAUGAACACUUCUUACUGUCUUUUUUCCAAAGAACUCUUUAAAAAUACUAAACACAAUCUAGCCUCUUCUUCUUGUAAUCCUAGCCAAGUGGAACAAGUGCAAUGAACCCUUUAUGGGAAAAUUAUAUGCCUGUGUAAUUAUAACAUUAAUGAGUGUGAGUUUGCUAAAGUGAAACAUAAAAGUGAGAUUGCAAAGAUCAUUUCGUUGCUUACCUGGUGAUUUAAAGUGUGAUAAUGGUUUUGAAAAAAACUAUGUUUGAAAACCUUAAAUCUAAAACAGCUUGAGAUCUUAACAAAUGGAAAGGAAAUUGGUGUAAAGCACUGGUAAAGGCAUCACCUUGCUCUGGACUAUUCUCCAGAAUUCUCCAGAGUAUUCUCCAGAACAACCUUAUAUGACUCAUAAAACAAAUUUGUUGUGUUAAUUUACUAUAAUGACUGUACACAUAAUAGAACUACAUUAAUAUCAGAGAACCUGAAAAAAGCUUUUAGAAGUGACAUCAUCAUUCAAUGGGAAAUAAGUAUAUCAAUUUCAGGGUUCACAAGAAAAUCAUUGUUACCCCAGACAGUCUCCCGUAAAGCAGCCUGUUAAAAAGAUAACCUCAAGAGCUCUGGUGUGUCAGGGGAGCAAUAAUAUUCUAAGAAUUAGCUUACUUUGACCAAAAGUUCUAGAAUGAAUCAAUGGAAAUAAAUACCAAUUACAUGUUUAUUAGAAAGAGUGACACUAAUCAAGUUACGGUACUUUCCACAGCUCAGAGUGAUGAUGCUACCUUUUAUUUUUUUAUGGGUGCUCUGUGUAGGCCAUGUCCAAAGCCAUCAGAGAGUAUGUCAAAGGCAAUGUGGAACAUUGUAGAACUGUAGAACAGAGUUCGUUACAGUUCUAAAUAUAUCACAUUCAAAACAUUCUGACUGAAAACAUGCCCCAUCCAUUUAAAGCAACCAUUUUAAAAGCACUGUAUUUACAGAUAUGUCAUUACACCAACAUCUGGUAAAUGUAUGCAGGUCUGCCAUCUUAUGGAGCCUGAAUGGUACUGCCAAAUAACAGAACGUGGAACUAUGUGUUCAUAUUAGAUGAAUAGUUUGAAUUUCUCCUUUACAGGUAAUGUGUGUUUUCUUUUAAAACUCACACCAUUUGAAUGCAUUGUUUCUGUUCGAUUUGUGUAUUUGUUGCAUUUAUGUGUGCAUGCAGGUGUACACAUGUAAACACACAGUCAAAUAAAGGCAUUGCAUUGCAAGUUCAAGCAUAUAAAAGCUGGGAACCGUUAAAGUUGAAGUUGGUUGUUUACAUUAUAUGACUGCCUUGAGCAACAUCAUCAUGCCCUAUUUUUGGGGGGGACCACUGCCUGAUCUGUCUGAUUCAGCAUUCAGGUUAGAUGGUGCUAUUAGUGAAUAACUGUUCAGAAUUUUGCUUUAGUCUCUUUGUUUGGAGUGUGACUGUGCUGUACUUGCUGUAAGCUAGUCAAGCCCUAUUCUAAAGACAAAAUUAUUAAUUCCUCUAAGGACUUUUCUGUAGCUGAUAUUAUUAGAGUAUGAUUAUGAGCAAUUUUGAAUUAAGUUUGUACAGGCCAAGGCAGACAAUUAUCAUGGAAAUUUUCAGCCCAAGUGAUUAAAGUUUGGCGAAGCUAUUAAAGUUGCUAAAAUGAUA